Molecule: small RNA, 100 nt
Filed under: Arabidopsis thaliana (thale cress)
Lineage: Eukaryota; Viridiplantae; Streptophyta; Magnoliopsida; Brassicales; Brassicaceae
Description: ATSL190450
Source: RNAcentral
UAAGCGCGAUAUCCUUCAUCGCAGCCUCCAAACCCUUGUCGUUCUGCGCCGCAUCUCCAAUACCACAAUUCACUACAAUCUUCUGUACCUUUGGAACCUG